Molecule: long non-coding RNA, 2726 nt
Organism: Papaver somniferum (opium poppy)
Lineage: Eukaryota; Viridiplantae; Streptophyta; Magnoliopsida; Ranunculales; Papaveraceae
Exons: 7
Source: RefSeq, a predicted model, not a curated record
AAAGAGCAAGAUACCUUGUGGUUCCAAAAGCUUCAGAAGACUAAGGGAAUUGUAUUUUCGAAUUCUUUUUUUUUUCAUUGCGUACGUCUCUAUAUAUUUUUCAUGGGAUUGACAUCAGUAUGAUUACCCGUUGAAAGUCUCAAAAAAAAAAUUGUUACAAGCUCUCGCUCUGCUGGGUGUGAUACUGGUGUAUCCAUUGUUCCGCUUCAUAUGCUAUUGUUAUAGCCUUAGCGCCGUUGAAGAAAGUCUGCAGGUCAAAGGUCGAGAGAUCAGCUGGUUGAUCUCCCGUAACUCUUAUCCGUUGCAUUCUUCCUAAGGGACCAAGAUUCCUCCUUAAUUCAGAUUGUAAGCUGAACGGUUAUUAAUAACUGGAUACUAGUAUCAAAUGUUCUUGAUUGGGAGAUAUUGAUUCCAAGAACAAUGCCAAAUGACAUCUCUUGAGCAUAUAAAUCAGUCCUUUACACCGCCAUUCUUGAAGAAGACAUUAGAGGUAUAGGGUUGCCGGAGUGAAGUACGGAGCAUAAAUGAAUGGCUGAUCAAAUAAUAAUCUCUGUAAUAAAAAAAGGUGGUGUUUGACUCCGAAAUUUGAGAGUCAUUAGAUAGUCAGGAUUGAUCCGAGAGGCCCAUCACACGGUCUCUGUCGUCCGGACGGAGCUUUGACUUCGACGGCUAGGAAAACUUCGCUAAUUAUACGGAUGAGUCACCGUAAAGAAGUGUUUGUUAAUUGUUAUCUCUUCCAUGAAACCUAUUUCUCCUUCUUUUUUUUUUCUUCUUCUGCUACUACGAUUCUUCUCUUCGCCCGCGAAGAAACUCUAAAUUUUGAGAUUUGAGUUUCCUUGAUGUGCUCUACAGAAAAUUUAGGAGGCAAGGCGAUGAGAGGAAAAGAAGAAGAAGGGUUUCAAUUAUUGAUGACGUUGAUUGUUGAUAAAAUCGGUGGUGGUUAGGAACAAGAUCGUUAGGUCAAGUGAUCGCAGAGUCCUCAAUAUCUUCAGGUAAUUUUGGAAAAAGGAAAACUCUAGUUCUGGACCAUGGUCAGAUUAAGCUAAAUGACAAAUCCAUGGUUAAGAGGAGGACGAAAAGUCUGGAAUUCCCCUCAUUACUCAUUCAAGUUGGAAAAUUUGAUCCUUCUCACAGUGGGUGGUGAAGUUGAUACCUUGAAAGUGGUUACUGACGAAGAAAAUGGUGUUAUUAUGGGAGCUUCAGGUAAAGACUCAAAAAUAUACUGAAAUACGAUCAGAGAUAGUUGGAACUCAAGUUGAUGCUUCUUAGUUGAGUUGCUACAACUGAAAUGAGAAAGGGGAGCACUAAGCCACGGUUCAAACUGGUGUAUCAGUUCUCUAGGUAAUAUAUUAUCAUUAUCAUAUCAACCGUGGAUACUUCUUUGUCUUCCAAUUGUACAACAAUAAAGCUAAAAGCAUGGACAAGUAAAUCAAUACUACAUUUGGCCGAUGAUUGCCAUGAAGAAUUUAAUAUUUAGGAAUUCGUUUACGACAUUGUCAAAAUUUAUGAUGCUACAUUUUUUCGCUUUGGCUAAGUUGCUCGGCACGAAAACUAAGCCUAUGAAACAUAAUAAUUAAUAAUUUGUUGCACAACAUUCUAAAAGUUGGGGAAUGAAAUAUUGUGGUCAUUGGUCACUUUAUAAACUUAAAAACAAUUGAGGACUAAAGAAUUUUUAAUUUAUCAAGCAUUUAUUUGUCUAAUCAGAUUUGUUGAUGCAAUUAUAUUGAUAUAGCAUUUUUCGUAGCCAAUAGGCAUUCAUCCGUAUACUGGACAAGGUGCAACAGCCUACAUUCCUACGUUUAUGUUAAAAUCAACACACUUCUCGGUAUAAUUUGAUUGAUAUUAAACAAUCUCCUAAAAGAUCUAAAAGAUUUUCGGUUCUCAGCUUCAUCAAUUUGGUGUCCGAUUCAUUAACAGUUCAGUAGCGUUUGAUUCAUGGAAUAAAAUCCCUAUUUUAUUUGCUAAAAUAUUGGCGUUCGAUUUAUUAGCAUCCUACAUACUGUGUUUGUUGAUUCAAUCAAUCGCUAUCUUAUUAUGUCUUUUUCAAGCAAAUUUAGUUGAAUUUUCAAUUAGGUAAUAUAUUUUUGAUACAUUAAUCCAGUUGGAUCAAAAUCUGAUUGUGGGUUUUGUAUGUGCAAUGAUUUUGAUCGUGGAUUUUGUUAUUCAAUGAUUUUGAUUGUGGUUAUACGAGUUGCAAGUGUAUUUCGUAACUUCGAUGAUUUUGGUCGUGGGUUUUGAGAGAUGGGUCUCCGAGUUGUCAUUCUAAUAAAAAUCUCGAAGAGGUAAAAUCAUUAAGAAGAUUUGCAGAGUAAAAAGGGAAGAUCAAGAUUAAUUUCAGGGGGAUUUAACAAGGAGGGAAACAUUGGCAUUGCUCGGUAUUAAUGAGUUAUUAUGGAAAGGGUUCAAAUUCAAGAAGUAAGAGUAGAAAAACUCACUUCGCUUUCUAUAACUUACGUGCAUUCGAUCUGCAUUGGGUUGCCCAGUAUUUAAUUAUACAUCUCUUAGUUUCAAUUAUCUUUGUUUCAGUCUGAAUUGGAUUAUUUACAGUUUUCUUUCUUCAUUAUUUGGAUUUUGUAGGGUUUAAGAUGAAUUUUAAAGGUACUUUAAAACGACCACCCUGUCUAUUUUAUGAACUGAGCUAUUUCUCCAUCCAUAUUAACACCACCUUGAUGUCUUUCCAGACACUCUACGAAUCCUAUUCCUGAUCUGGGAGGUACUUUACAAUU